Molecule: ribosomal RNA, 482 nt
Filed under: uncultured bacterium
Lineage: Bacteria
Description: partial 16S ribosomal RNA
Rfam family: Bacterial small subunit ribosomal RNA
Source: RNAcentral
AUUGAACGCUGGCGGCAUGCCUUACACAUGCAAGUCGAACGGUAACGGGCCUUCGGGUGCCGACGAGUGGCGAACGGGUGAGUAAUACAUCGGAACGUGCCCGAUCGUGGGGGAUAACGAGGCGAAAGCUUUGCUAAUACCGCAUACGAUCUACGGAUGAAAGCAGGGGACCGCAAGGCCUUGCGCGGACGGAGCGGCCGAUGGCAGAUUAGGUAGUUGGUGGGAUAAAAGCUUACCAAGCCGACGAUCUGUAGCUGGUCUGAGAGGAUGAUCAGCCACACUGGGACUGAGACACGGCCCUGACUCCUACGGGAGGCAGCAGUGGGGAAUUUUGGACAAUGGGCGCAAGCCUGAUCCAGCCAUGCCGCGUGCAGGAUGAAGGCCUUCGGGUUGUAAACUGCUUUUGUACGGAACGAAAAGCCUUCUUUUAAUACAGGAGGGUCAUGACGGUACCGUAAGAAUAAGCACCGGCUAACUACGUG